RNAcentral lists this ribosomal RNA (1097 nucleotides) under Cladosporium sphaerospermum. RNAcentral's name for it is "SSU rRNA". It matches the Rfam family "Eukaryotic small subunit ribosomal RNA", at positions 58 to 1149 of the family's 1831-position model. The record is from RNAcentral. Lineage: Eukaryota; Fungi; Ascomycota; Dothideomycetes; Cladosporiales; Cladosporiaceae.
CCUCUGCCCUUUCGCUCUAGUGUGAGCACUAUACGGUGAACUGCGAAUGGCUCAUUAAAUCAGUUAUCGUUUAUUUGAUAGUACCUUACUACAUGGAUAACCGUGGUAAUUCUAGAGCUAAUACAUGCUAAAAACCUCGACUUCGGAAGGGGUGUAUUUAUUAGAUAAAAAACCAAUGCCCUUCGGGGCUCCUUGGUGAAUCAUAAUAACUUAACGAAUCGCAUGGCCUUGCGCCGGCGAUGGUUCAUUCAAAUUUCUGCCCUAUCAACUUUCGAUGGUAGGAUAGUGGCCUACCAUGGUAUCAACGGGUAACGGGGAAUUAGGGUUCGACUCCGGAGAGGGAGCCUGAGAAACGGCUACCACAUCCAAGGAAGGCAGCAGGCGCGCAAAUUACCCAAUCCCGACACGGGGAGGUAGUGACAAUAAAUACUGAUACAGGGCUCUUUUGGGUCUUGUAAUUGGAAUGAGUACAAUUUAAAUCCCUUAACGAGGAACAAUUGGAGGGCAAGUCUGGUGCCAGCAGCCGCGGUAAUUCCAGCUCCAAUAGCGUAUAUUAAAGUUGUUGCAGUUAAAAAGCUCGUAGUUGAACCUUGGGCCUGGCUGGCCGGUCCGCCUCACCGCGUGUACUGGUCCGGCCGGGCCUUUCCUUCUGGGGAACCUCAUGCCCUUCACUGGGCGUGCUGGGGAACCAGGACUUUUACUUUGAAAAAAUUAGAGUGUUCAAAGCAGGCCUUUGCUCGAAUACAUUAGCAUGGAAUAAUAGAAUAGGACGUGUGGUUCUAUUUUGUUGGUUUCUAGGACCGCCGUAAUGAUUAAUAGGGAUAGUCGGGGGCAUCAGUAUUCAAGCGUCAGAGGUGAAAUUCUUGGAUUGCUUGAAGACUAACUACUGCGAAAGCAUUUGCCAAGGAUGUUUUCAUUAAUCAGUGAACGAAAGUUAGGGGAUCGAAGACGAUCAGAUACCGUCGUAGUCUUAACCAUAAACUAUGCCGACUAGGGAUCGGGCGUGUUAGUAUUUUUGACCCGCUCGGCACCUUUACGAGAAAUCAAGUUUUUGGGGUUCUGGGGGGGAGUAUGGUCCGCAAGGCUGAAACUAAAAU